AACCUACAAUAGCCAUAUUCCACACAUUCUUGAUCAACUAUACAAGAUCACCACUAGCAACACUAAUUUAGAAAACUACAUGUCAAUUGAAUUACCGUUCAAAAACGCUUUGUUGACAAAGUUUUUAACUUUCAUAUCAACCAACCAUGUCAUCAAUAUAACCCCAUUUUUAAGUAAAUAGAUAUUCAUGCGCAAUCAUCUAAUAUCUUUCUUGAGCAAUAUAGAUGGCUUAAGAAUCCACUUUUGCGAUUGAUUGUCCGUAUGUUGGUUGACUAUCAACUACACAUUUUCUCUUCAUCCUUAUUCUUUAAAGGAGUGUGGUUCCAUGUUUUGCCUUUCAAAUCGACGUUAUAUCAGUUUCUAUCUUCUUUUCUCAAUCCAUAAUCUCACUUCAUCUUCAACAUCUAAAAAAGUAUUAUACAACCUUUUGAUUUGGUCAACCCUAUGUUAUAGUCUUUUGGAUUCUUAAUAGAUACUACCAUGAACUCAAUAAGACCCAAUAUCAUACUCUAAGUUUAUCUAGACUUGCUAGACACAUUAAGUUCCUGUUUGGUACAACGGUGGGUGACUACCGUAACCGCACAUGAAAAUUUAGCUAAUAUGACUCUGGUGCAUAUGAAAAUUUAAACUUCUAGAGCAACUUGGUUGCAGAUCGUAGACUUACGAUGCAUUGAUGAAAUUGGUAAACACCUUAAAAUUUUAUAUGAUCUUGUUGAUGUUAGACCUUUUUUUAUGUAUGUUUUAAUAACAACAAACUUUAUGAAAUAAAUGGUUAAG
RNAcentral lists this long non-coding RNA (777 nucleotides) under Cicer arietinum (chickpea). RNAcentral describes it as "long non-coding RNA (CARI_LNC002420)". Lineage: Eukaryota; Viridiplantae; Streptophyta; Magnoliopsida; Fabales; Fabaceae. The record is from RNAcentral.